ACACAUAUGCCUUGAGUUGCUCUUCAGUGAAUAUCACUUUUCCUUUCAUGUUUUUUCUACAUGCUAUUAUCUGUAUGAAAUGAAGACCAAGAAAGGAUGGGAAGAAGGAGAAGAAAAAUUUUGAUUUAUCUCAGAAACUAUACUCCGAAGUGAGAGUCCUGGUUGCAGCAUCCUUCACCGAAGCACGAAGCAGAAUCAAGCUGUUGCCAUGAAGCUUGUUUCAAGAGCUCAGAAAUACUCCAGGGACUCCUUUACUACUGCUUUUCAAAGAGGCCUUUUUUUCUCUCUUCUCCUUUUCCUGCAAAGAGGGUUAUAUCCAGUGCUCAAGGACAUGGGAUUAUCAGCCUAAGGCAUGAGUACAUGCUGUGGAAACAGAAAUAUGUAUGAAGGGAUGUAUGAAACCACAGAAUAAAUGGAAUCCACAUUCUUGAAGUAGCUACAACUCUACUUGAGGUCCCAAGGCACGUAGAUAGUACCUAUACAUCUCAUCAGGAACAUGGAUGGUUCUCUGCUAUCAGCUGAAGUGCUGUGACCACAAAACUGAAAAUUCCCAUUCUGUGUCCUUGCCAAUAAAGAAUGUCCAUCAGAGCACGCCCAGUAUCCUAGCUCCUUAUCCAGACUGUGCUUCUCAAUGUGACAAGGAAGACUGCAACCCUAUUUGCUUCUGAUAACCUUCCUAUGACUAAGGUAGGAAGAUGAAAGGAAACGACACAGCACUUGAGUAUUUUUUUCCCCUAAAGCUUUGCUAAUUGUGGAUCAACCCUGGCUACAAAUCAGUAAUCUCCUUUCAUGGUGAUAUUGUCAUUGCAGCAGUUUCUAUGCUCACACCAACAUUCUUCAGAAUCCAGGGCAGAGUAGAGCACAAGUGUCUGGGGAUUCCUCGCGAAAGUCCUGGGGUUCACUGUGUUUGACUGACCUGGGUCACAUGCUUAACAGCUACACCUCUUAGAGGAGCCACGUCUCCCGAUGCAUCUGGAUUCCAAAUGGAAAUUAGCAGGUUUGAAAAGGAAAAAGAGAUGUCCCCAGAGUGUCCAGAGCGGAAGGUGAGGGAAUAUCAGGCAGAGGGAAUUAUUUUAGAAAAGUAUCAGGGCAAGAUUAGAAUUUUGGUUUUGUUUAUUUUUCUCUUUGGUGCCUAUAAUAAUAAUUGACAGAUAGUGCUCAAUAUAUUUUUAUUAAGCAAAUGAAUGAAUGAAAGAAAAUGAAUGAAUGAAACCGUAUUUCAGUUUGGCUGCAGCAAACGAUGUACAUAAAGGAAAAUGUAAAGUAGUCAGUGUAUUGAAAGCAGGCACACAGAAACCAACUUUAAUAAACUGCAUAAGGCAAUGAUCAUGUUUAACUAUUCUUGAUGCAGUUUCGAUACUGACCAGCUAUUAGCCAGCUGCUCCUCAAUGCCAUGCUUGCUCCUGGAUGACUUUUUCUACUGCUGUAGCAGUGAAUGUGAGAAUAGGCACAUCACUUUUGACCACAGCCUAAGCCAGCUAUAAAUAGGAAUGUGUACGCCUUCUGUAAAAAUAGUCAUACACUGCAUUCCAAAACAAAACAAAAAAUGAAA
Long non-coding RNA from Homo sapiens (human), 1552 nucleotides. Ensembl annotates it as long intergenic non-protein coding RNA 2208. The record is from Ensembl. Lineage: Eukaryota; Metazoa; Chordata; Mammalia; Primates; Hominidae.